RNAcentral lists this long non-coding RNA (439 nucleotides) under Sorghum bicolor (sorghum). RNAcentral's name for it is "long non-coding RNA (SBIC_LNC012212)". Lineage: Eukaryota; Viridiplantae; Streptophyta; Magnoliopsida; Poales; Poaceae. The record is from RNAcentral.
UCUGCGACUUUGGCUCCAGCGUCAACAUUAUGCCCAGGGUACUCUAUGAAAAAUUCUUUACACAUCGUUUACUAGAAACAACCAUGUGUUUGCAGCAUGCAGAUCGGACGCUAAGUUUCCCAAAUGGAAUACUGGCCUUCAUGCCGAGUCUUCCUCCGCCGCCAACUCGACUCGUAACCAAGCCUAACCAAACCUCCAUGCUCACUGGUACUUUGACGUCACUAUAGGUAGGUCUCCGUGGGUCUUGAGUUCGGCAAGACGACUUCGGUUCACACGUGAAAGUGCUUCGAAAGGCACCGGCUCCCAAUGGUGAAAUUCUUGCUGAAAGCACAGCUACGUGCUGGCACUCAAUCAAGUAGUAGCGCUGGCACGUCACUCGGCUCCUCGGCUAUUUCUCCUUAGGCGCAUGUCUCAGCAACACAAAACGAGGGUUUUGCUC